Erinaceus europaeus (western European hedgehog) is the source of this 316-nucleotide unclassified non-coding RNA. Its record names the gene 7SK. It matches the Rfam family "7SK RNA". Rfam says of the family: 7SK was discovered as an abundant small nuclear RNA in the mid-70s but a possible function has only recently been suggested. Two independent studies have found that 7SK RNA binds the CDK9/cyclin T complex (known as elongation factor P-TEFb). NCBI's taxonomy places the organism in Eukaryota, Metazoa, Chordata, Mammalia, Eulipotyphla, Erinaceidae. The record is from Ensembl.
GGUUGUGAGGGUGAUCUGGCUGCGACAUCUGUCACCCCAUUGAUCGCCAGGGUUGAUUCGGCUGAUCUGGCUGGCUAUGCGGGUGUCCACUUCCUCCCUCACCGCUCCAUGUGCAUCCCUCCCAAAGCUGUGCCCUCAGUCGAAGAGGAUGGCCUUCCCCGAAUAGAGACAGACCGAUCUUUGGUCGAGGGUAUAGGAGUUGCUGCGUACCCCUGCUAGAACCUCCAAACAAGCUCUCAAGAAAGCAUAAGGUACAAUUACUAGAGUUGGAGUUAUUGAUAUUUUAUUUAAGCACACUCACUUUCUGCUUAUUGUU